This 1355-nucleotide ribosomal RNA is filed under the name uncultured bacterium. Its description in RNAcentral is "bacterial SSU rRNA". It matches the Rfam family "Bacterial small subunit ribosomal RNA", at positions 28 to 1381 of the family's 1533-position model. The record is from RNAcentral.
AUUGAACGCUGGCGGCAGGCUUAACACAUGCAAGUCGAACGAUGAAACUCUAGCUUGCUAGAGAAGAUUAGUGGCGGACGGGUGAGUAACAUUUAGGAAUCUGCCUAGUAGUGGGGGAUAGCUCGGGGAAACUCGAAUUAAUACCGCAUACGACCUACGGGUGAAAGGGGGCGCAAGCUCUUGCUAUUAGAUGAGCCUAAAUCAGAUUAGCUAGUUGGUGGGGUAAAGGCCCACCAAGGCGACGAUCUGUAACUGGUCUGAGAGGAUGAUCAGUCACACCGGAACUGAGACACGGUCCGGACUCCUACGGGAGGCAGCAGUGGGGAAUAUUGGACAAUGGGGGCAACCCUGAUCCAGCCAUGCCGCGUGUGUGAAGAAGGCCUUUUGGUUGUAAAGCACUUUAAGCAGGGAGGAGAGGCUAAUGGUUAAUACCCAUUAGAUUAGACGUUACCUGCAGAAUAAGCACCGGCUAACUCUGUGCCAGCAGCCGCGGUAAUACAGAGGGUGCGAGCGUUAAUCGGAAUUACUGGGCGUAAAGCGAGUGUAGGUGGCUCAUUAAGUCACAUGUGAAAUCCCCGGGCUUAACCUGGGAACUGCAUGUGAUACUGGUGGUGCUAGAAUAUGUGAGAGGGAAGUAGAAUUCCAGGUGUAGCGGUGAAAUGCGUAGAGAUCUGGAGGAAUACCGAUGGCGAAGGCAGCUUCCUGGCAUAAUAUUGACACUGAGAUUCGAAAGCGUGGGUAGCAAACAGGAUUAGAUACCCUGGUAGUCCACGCCGUAAACGAUGUCUACUAGCCGUUGGGGUCCUUGAGACUUUAGUGGCGCAGUUAACGCGAUAAGUAGACCGCCUGGGGAGUACGGCCGCAAGGUUAAAACUCAAAUGAAUUGACGGGGGCCCGCACAAGCGGUGGAGCAUGUGGUUUAAUUCGAUGCAACGCGAAGAACCUUACCUGGUCUUGACAUAGUGAGAAUCCUGCAGAGAUGCGGGAGUGCCUUCGGGAAUUCACAUACAGGUGCUGCAUGGCUGUCGUCAGCUCGUGUCGUGAGAUGUUGGGUUAAGUCCCGCAACGAGCGCAACCCUUUUCCUUAUCUGCCGGCGGGUUAAGCCGGGAACUUUAAGGAUACUGCCAGUGACAAACUGGAGGAAGGCGGGGACGACGUCAAGUCAUCAUGGCCCUUACGACCAGGGCUACACACGUGCUGCAAUGGUAGGUACAGAGGGUUGCUACACAGCGAUGUGAUGCUAAUCUCAAAAAGCCUAUCGUAGUCCGGAUUGGAGUCUGCAACUCGACUCCAUGAAGUCGGAAUCGCUAGUAAUCGCAGAUCAGAAUGCUGCGGUGAAUACGUUCCCGGGCCU